This 423-nucleotide ribosomal RNA is filed under the name uncultured bacterium. RNAcentral's name for it is "partial 16S ribosomal RNA". It matches the Rfam family "Bacterial small subunit ribosomal RNA", at positions 360 to 775 of the family's 1533-position model. The record is from RNAcentral.
AAUUUCGGACAAUGGGGGAAACCCUGAUCCAGCCAUCCCGCGUGUGCGAUGAAGGCCUUCGGGUCGUAAAGCACUUUUGGCAGGGAAGGAAAGGCCCUGGUUAAUACCUGGAGCUGCUGACGGUACCUGCAGCAUAAGCACCGGCUAACUACGUGCCAGCCUCCGCGGUAAUACGUAGGGUGCAAGCGUUAAUCGGAAUUACUGGGCGUAAAGCGUGCGCAGGCGGUUUGGCAAGAAGGAUGUGAAAUCCCAGGGCUUAACCUUGGAACUGCAUUCUUAACUGCUAGGCUAGAGUAUGUCAGAGGGGGGUAGAAUUCCGCGUGUAGCAGUGAAAUGCGUAGAGAUGCGGAGGAAUACCGAUGGCGAAGGCAGCCCCCUGGGAUAAUACUGACGCUCAUGCACGAAAGCGUGGGGAGCAAACAG